CAAGGUUGGGACCUCUGAGUCCGACAAACAAAAAGAGCCGAUUCUGAGUCUGCAGCAUGCUGUAGACACAUCUGGCUUCUCUCAGCUCACAAUGAAGUAAUACGAAUUGUGGUAAAAAGCUCUAUUUGUACAAAUGCAAAUAAUAUUCCAUCUGCUCAGAAUUUUUUUUCCCUUAUAUAGCUUUUGUUCCAAUGUGGUAAAAGCCUGUUUCUUUACCUGAAGUGCUCCUGCUGAUGAAGAGUGAAGUACAUGACAAUGAACUAAAAUCCAUUAUCAAACAAAUACAUUGGGAUUUGGAAGAACUGCUUUCCAAGCUCCUAUGUUGGAAGGAAACUUAACCCCCAGGCUGCUGAAAUCAAGCAUGGGAAGUUUCAAGAGAUAACAACCUCAGGACUUGCUGGUGGUGACAAACAAAAGGAAAAUAUACAAAUGAAUGACAGUUAUCAUAAGACCACAGCAAAAGGCAUUGAGAAGCCCAGGCGAAAGAACACUGGUACCUGGGAAAGAAUUUGGCCUUCUUUACAACACACUUGAUUUUAUGCUUGGCCCUUUGUUUUACUUCAUGGCCUGCUUCUAUUAUCUGUAAUAUCUAUUUUGAUCAGAAAAGAAAGCAAGGAACUUGAUCUUUUUUUUUCUUUUAGGACCAGGGAAGAAGUGGAACAGAAAAAAUUAUAAGCUGUGUGAGCAUGAAAUACACUUCUACCUUACACAAUAAUUGAGAGCCCACUUGAUAGCAUGUUAUGAUGUUUUAUUUAUGCCCUGUAAUCUUAUUCAAUAUUAGUUGGAUUUCACCUAAAACA
Molecule: long non-coding RNA, 800 nt
Organism: Ochotona princeps (American pika)
Lineage: Eukaryota; Metazoa; Chordata; Mammalia; Lagomorpha; Ochotonidae
Exons: 3
Source: RefSeq, a predicted model, not a curated record